RNAcentral lists this ribosomal RNA (494 nucleotides) under uncultured bacterium. RNAcentral describes it as "partial 16S ribosomal RNA". It matches the Rfam family "Bacterial small subunit ribosomal RNA", at positions 28 to 507 of the family's 1533-position model. The record is from RNAcentral.
GACGAACGCUGGCGGCGUGCUUAACACAUGCAAGUCGAACGGAAAGGCCUGCUUUCCCUUGUGGAUUGCGGGUACUCGAGUGGCGAACGGGUGAGUAACACGCGAGUGAUCUGCCCCCAACUUGGGUAUAAGCCUGGGAAACUGGGUCUAAUUCCCGAUAGGACUGCAGGGUGGUGCCUGUGGUGGAAAACGAUUUUCUAGUGGUUGGGGAUGAGGUCGCGGCCUAUUAGCUUGUUGGAGGGGUAAUGGCCUACCAAGGCGGCGACGGGGAGCCGGCCGGAGAGGGGGGACGGCGACAUUGAGACUGGGAUACGGCCCAGACGCCUACGAGCGGCGGCAGUGGGGGAUCUAGCAGAAUAGGCGGAAGCCUGAAGCAGCGACGCCGCGUGGAAGAUGACGGCCUUCGGGAUGUAAACUCCUUUCGACCGCGAGGAAGCCACCUGGUUGGAAGGGUGGUGACGGUAGUGGUAGAAGAAGCACCGGCUAACUACGUG